RNAcentral lists this ribosomal RNA (490 nucleotides) under uncultured bacterium. RNAcentral describes it as "partial 16S ribosomal RNA". It matches the Rfam family "Bacterial small subunit ribosomal RNA", at positions 29 to 506 of the family's 1533-position model. The record is from RNAcentral.
GUGAACGCUGGCGGUAGGCCUAACACCUGCAAGUCGAACGGCAGCACAGUAAGAGCUUGCUCUUACGGGUGGCGAGUGGCGGACGGGUGAGGAAUACAUCGGAAUCUACUUUUUCGUGGGGGAUAACGUAGGGAAACUUACGCUAAUACCGCAUACGACCUACGGGUGAAAGCAGGGGAUCUUCGGACCUUGCGCGAUUGAAUGAGCCGAUGUCGGAUUAGCUAGUUGGCGGGGUAAAGGCCCACCAAGGCGACGAUCCGUAGCUGGUCUGAGAGGAUGAUCAGCCACACUGGAACUGAGACACGGUCCAGACUCCUACGGGAGGCAGCAGUGGGGAAUAUUGGACAAUGGGCGCAAGCCUGAUCCAGCCAUACCGCGUGGGUGAAGAAGGCCUUCGGGUUGUAAAGCCCUUUUGUUGGGAAAGAAAAGCAGCAGGUUAAGACCCCGCUGUUCUGACGGUACCCAAAGAAUAAGCACCGGCUAACUUCGU